AUGUCAUUUUCCUGUGCACCAGACAAAAACUGCAUUACAGGUUUCGAAACAAAGUUAAUAAAAACAUACGAUGUAGUAAAAUAUUAUAAUAGUAAGAGCGACUAUGCAAGACGCACAUGGAAAUGUCUCACAAGCUUAAGUCCAAAUGAAGACAUUAUUUUAACAGAAGGAGUUGAAAAAAGGAAAGUUUAUUUAUUAGGUUUAAAUUAUGACGAAUAUGUUUUAGUUAGAGGUAGUUUUCGUUUUCGAGUAAUAAAGGGGAUGGUUCAUUUUUCUGAUCAUGUUAUGACACCUUCACGUAAAUAUAUAAAUAUUCGUAUACCCCCAUAUUAUCCUUUUUUUAAAUUAAGAGCAUUAAGUGAUAAUAAUAUAAAUUAUGUAAAUAAUAAUUUUAUUUUUUGUAAGCAAGAAAAAAAUAUAGAAAUUAAUACAAAUGUUAAAAAUGUACAUGAGUGUACUAUGGGUAUAUGUAACAUUAAUAACGACACUUGUAAUAUUAGUGGGAACAAUACUUGUUAUAAUAAUUAUGAGAAAACAGAAAUAAACACAAAAAAACAUGUUAAUAUAUCUGAAUCUGAAAGUAAACAACAAUAUACAUCCGAACCUGAAAACACAGAUAUAUACGAAUGUGCACAUACAAUUAUAAAUAAUUAUUUAUUUGGUUUAAAUUUACAACAUAAAAAUAAUAAUAAAAGACAAAGGUUUUAUAAUUAUAUUAUUAAUAAAAAGAAUAAAAAAGAAGAUAGUUAUAAUGAUAUUUGCUCUGAUAUGAAAAAAACGAUAGAUAUGCAUUUUAAAGAAAAUAAACAUGACGUUAUCAUCGCUUUUGAAAAAAAGAAAGAUUUUCUUUACUAUUUGUAUAAUUAUGAUAAUACGAAAAAAAUUAAUUUUGAUAAAUAUUAUAAUGAAAUUAAAAAUGUAUAUGUUAAUAAUUUUAAUGUAUAUUAUAUUAUGAGGCAGAUUUUAUUGGGUAUGUAUUACAGUAGUAGUAAUAACUGUAGUAGUGAUAAUAACUGUAGUAUUGGUCAUAACUGUAGUAGUGGUCAU
Molecule: long non-coding RNA, 1047 nt
Filed under: Piliocolobus tephrosceles (Ugandan red Colobus)
Lineage: Eukaryota; Metazoa; Chordata; Mammalia; Primates; Cercopithecidae
Description: lncRNA (ENSPTEG00000024820.1)
Source: RNAcentral